ACUCAAAGGAAUAGACGGGGGCCCGCACAAGCAGCGGAGCGUGUGGUUUAAUUCGAUGCAACGCGCAGAACCUUACCUCGGCUUGACAUGCAGGUGGUACCAACCCGAAAGGGAAGGGACCCGCGAGGGAGCCUGCACAGAUGCUGCAUGGCUGUCGUCAGCUCGUGCCGUGAGGUGUUGGGUUAAGUCCCGCAACGAGCGCAACCCUUGUCCCUAGUUGAAUUCUCUCUAGGGAGACCGCCGGUACAAACCGGAGGAAGGUGGGGAUGACGUCAAGUCAGCACGGCUCUUACGUCGAGGGCUACACACACGCUACAAUGGCCGGUACAACGGGCAGCCAAGCCGCGAGGCGGAGCCAAUCCCACCAAAGCCGGUCUCAGUUCGGAUUGCAGGCUGCAACUCGCCUGCAUGAAGUCGGAGUUGCUAGUAACCGCCGGUCAGCACACGGCGGUGAAUACGUUCCCGGGCCUUGUACACACCGCCCGU
Molecule: ribosomal RNA, 486 nt
Filed under: uncultured bacterium
Lineage: Bacteria
Description: partial 16S ribosomal RNA
Rfam family: Bacterial small subunit ribosomal RNA
Source: RNAcentral